CGUGUAAUGUCGCCGUGGACGGUCACAAGCCCGUGAAAAGACAGAGUGCACG
This 52-nucleotide non-coding RNA is filed under the name unclassified sequences. The record is from Rfam.